Bubalus bubalis (water buffalo) is the source of this 772-nucleotide long non-coding RNA. RefSeq lists it as uncharacterized. The record is from RefSeq and is a predicted model, not a curated record. NCBI's taxonomy places the organism in Eukaryota, Metazoa, Chordata, Mammalia, Artiodactyla, Bovidae. The transcript is spliced from 3 exons.
GGGAUAGCCAGUACUUCCCAAACACGACAUCCAUCCUCUCACCAUGCCGACACACGAAGAGGCAUCUCUUCUGAGGGCCAGGCUGGCUGCUGAUCCUCAGAGGCUGUGGACAAAGAAAGGCUGAAGGCAACCUGAGUUACAUACAGCUCAGAGGCAAAACUAGCCAGUAUGGAGAGACGCCAUCUAGAGGACAGCUUCUUCCCCUAAGGAGAUGCUUCAUCAGGAGGCGAGAACUUUUAUUACCACAAAUGCCCCUGCCUCAUCUCCCCUACAUGGUGGUGAGGCCACAUGGUCCAUAGUCUCCUCCAGCCAGAAGGUCCUGCUUUGCCAGUUCUAAUCACAGGAUCGUGUGCCCUGAGAGAUCGGUAACCCUUUUAGGACAGAAAAGUCAAUGCCUCACCCUUUGUGAAAAAAGGUGCUCAGUGCCUCCUGAGCAGAGUUGAGGAUGUGGCCCUGACGGUCAGCCCUACCUGGGUGGGCUGGCAGAUGAUGGUGAGGGGCGUCGCGUCCCCCAGGCCCUGGUCCUCAUACUGCCGCCUCUCCAGGAUGCCGUCCCCAAAGGAGAGCGCGUUGGAAGAGGACGUGUUUAAGAUGGAGUAAGAGCUGCGGAGGGAGACAAGGAAGAUGUUAACUGAGGAGGAACAUCUUUUUAAAAUGUUUUCAUUGAAGUAUAAUUGACAAUAUUAUAUGAGUUUCGAGUACACAACACAGUGAUUGGGUAUUUUUAUAAGGAACGCCCUGUUUCAUACUGGAGUCUUGCUUAAUAAAUUAG